UUUCAAGUCAACCCUUGGUGUCGGAACAACGAAUACGUGUAUUUCGGCCGGUGACGUCACAUCAAAACAAACCAGUUAAAUUGCCUGAAGUGUUCGAAAGAAUCCGUGCACGGUUAUGGCCGAGCGACACAUCGCUACUGAAACCGCAACUGCAGAUCCCAGGGAAAGUUAUUGCAUGGCAACACGAACUUCGGUCGCAAUUCUCAAUACGUCUUCCGUAUAGCGCGAACUUGGCACUGGCAACCUAUCAUCUGUUUCGGUCUUCGCAGAACUCUUCUACUGGCGUCGAUUUAAUUGUCGUCAGGAAGGGCCGCAAGAAUCACUUGUCACAGUUUUUUUUGUUCACAAGAUCACCGACGUUCUACAGUGAUAGAAUUAGGGUGUUGCUAGAAAAGAACACUACUGAUAGAUUGCGUAUUAGUAAUAUUUCUUGGCUGGUAGACAAUCAUUAUUGUUUUGAUUGUUCAAUAUAAUUACAAUAUAAUAACAAUUUGGUAUAAAACAGCGAUUAAAAACUCUUCCGACUGUUAUUUUACUUUC
Molecule: long non-coding RNA, 540 nt
Organism: Varroa destructor (honeybee mite)
Lineage: Eukaryota; Metazoa; Arthropoda; Arachnida; Mesostigmata; Varroidae
Source: RefSeq, a predicted model, not a curated record